RNAcentral lists this ribosomal RNA (465 nucleotides) under Vreelandella stevensii. RNAcentral describes it as "partial 16S ribosomal RNA". It matches the Rfam family "Bacterial small subunit ribosomal RNA", at positions 338 to 795 of the family's 1533-position model. Lineage: Bacteria; Pseudomonadati; Pseudomonadota; Gammaproteobacteria; Oceanospirillales; Halomonadaceae. The record is from RNAcentral.
CCUACGGGUGGCUGCAGUGGGGAAUAUUGGACAAUGGGCGAAAGCCUGAUCCAGCCAUGCCGCGUGUGUGAAGAAGGCCUUCGGGUUGUAAAGCACUUUCAGUGGGGAAGAAAGCCUUGGGGCUAAUACCCUCGAGGAAGGACAUCACCCACAGAAGAAGCACCGGCUAACUCCGUGCCAGCAGCCGCGGUAAUACGGAGGGUGCGAGCGUUAAUCGGAAUUACUGGGCGUAAAGCGCGCGUAGGCGGUCUGAUAAGCCGGGUGUGAAAGCCCCGGGCUCAACCUGGGAACGGCAUCCGGAACUGUCAGGCUAGAGUGCAGGAGAGGAAGGUAGAAUUCCCGGUGUAGCGGUGAAAUGCGUAGAGAUCGGGAGGAAUACCAGUGGCGAAGGCGGCCUUCUGGACUGACACUGACGCUGAGGUGCGAAAGCGUGGGUAGCAAACAGGAUUAGAUACCCCUGUAGUC